This 23-nucleotide non-coding RNA is filed under the name Cricetulus griseus (Chinese hamster). The record is from RNAcentral. Lineage: Eukaryota; Metazoa; Chordata; Mammalia; Rodentia; Cricetidae.
AAGAUUCUGUAUUGCUCAUAAUA